RNAcentral lists this ribosomal RNA (228 nucleotides) under uncultured bacterium. Its description in RNAcentral is "partial 16S ribosomal RNA". It matches the Rfam family "Bacterial small subunit ribosomal RNA", at positions 568 to 795 of the family's 1533-position model. The record is from RNAcentral.
UGCGCAGGCGGGUUAUUAAGUCAGUGGUGAAAUCUCUCGGCUCAACCGAGAAACUGCCAUUGAAACUGAUAAUCUUGAGUAUAGUUGUAGUAGGCGGAAUAUAGCAUGUAGCGGUGAAAUGCUUAGAUAUGCUAUAGAACACCGAUCGCGAAGGCAGCUUACUAAACUAUUACUGACGCUCAUGCACGAAAGCGUGGGGAGCAAACAGGAUUAGAUACCCUGGUAGUC